UGUUCCCCAGUGAGGGCUUCUGGGGUGCGGGAACACAGAAUCGUGACGGAUUGCCCUAAUUCUUGUCAAGAUCAUUCCAGAUUGGGAGAGGAAGCCACAGUGAACAAACAACUUACAGUGGACGCUCUAUCAACAGGUCACAACUGAGGAAAAGGGGCUGAGGGAACUCAAAAAAUACUGCAACUGGCAACAGAGACCACCAUCAAGGGAUAAAAUUACUUCAGCACCUACACACAAAACGCAGAGCAGCUGGAGAAAGGGGCAUGGGAAAAAAAGGCUGCUCAAGAGCAAACCUGAAGACCCUGUUUAUUAGCCAUUUCUCUCCCUGCAAGUGACUGGCAAUCCAUUUUGACUGAACUUGGGAUUCUGAGAUGCUCCGAAUGCCCUCUCUGGUGUUUUUACAGUUGAGGGGAGAAGAGGGUCUGUUCUCCAGGUAAUCUAACACCUCAAGGCUCUGGAUGAUGCAUUAUGCAUGGUUCAUGCAAGACACUGCAGAAAUCCAAUCAGGAGAUGCACACAAGAAAAAACCUUGGCCCUACAUCAAAACAGUAGCAACAAAUGUGGAGUCCUGAGAACUAGUUGCCCCUGGGCUAUGGAGAAAGGGAGCUAAUAAAAUGACCAUGGUGGCAUCAUCAUCAAUAUAGGAACCCGG
RNAcentral lists this long non-coding RNA (652 nucleotides) under Homo sapiens (human). RNAcentral's name for it is "HSALNT0381679". Lineage: Eukaryota; Metazoa; Chordata; Mammalia; Primates; Hominidae. The record is from RNAcentral.